CGGGUUGUUGCUGGCCCCCAAACCGGGCACGUGCACNCCCUGUUUACGCAUCCACUCACACCUGUGCACCCUCUGUAGUUCUGUGGACCGGGAGACGUCGUCUUCCUUCCGUGGCUCUACGUCUUUACACACACGCCGUAGCGAAGUCUCAUGGAAUGUUUUUCGCGUUUAACGCAAUACAAUACAACUUUCAGCAACGGAUCUCUUGGCUCUCGCAUCGAUGAAGAACGCAGCGAAAUGCGAUAAGUAAUGUGAAUUGCAGAAUUCAGUGAAUCAUCGAAUCUUUGAACGCACCUUGCGCCCCUUGGUUAUUCCUCGGGGCAUGCCUGUUUGAGUAUCAUGAACACCUCAACUCUCGUGGUCUUCCAUGAUGAGCUUGGACUUUGGGGGUUUGCUGGCCCUGUGGCCGGCUCCUCUCAAACGAAUCAGCUUGCCAGUGUUUGGCGGCGUCACGGGUGUGAUAACCAUCUACGCUUGCGAUCGCCUGCCAGAUAACCCUCAGCGAUGAAGGUUCAUUGGGGCUCACAAAAGUCUCUCCACGGCGAGGACAAAUUUUGAAUGUUCGAUCUCAAAUCAGGUAGGACUACCCGCUGAACUUAAGCAUAUCAAUAAGCGGAGGAAAAGAAACUAACAAGGAUUCCCCUAGUAACUGCGAGUGAAGCGGGAAGAGCUCAAAUUUAAAAUCUGGCGUGCCUCCGGUCGUCCGAAUUGUAGUCUGGAGAAGCGUUUUCCGUGCUGGACCGUGUAC
Molecule: ribosomal RNA, 748 nt
Filed under: uncultured Tomentella
Lineage: Eukaryota; Fungi; Basidiomycota; Agaricomycetes; Thelephorales; Thelephoraceae
Description: eukaryotic LSU rRNA
Rfam family: 5.8S ribosomal RNA (bases 186-340)
Source: RNAcentral